Molecule: ribosomal RNA, 1458 nt
Filed under: uncultured organism
Description: SSU rRNA
Rfam family: Bacterial small subunit ribosomal RNA
Source: RNAcentral
UGAACGCUGGCGGCAGGCCUAACACAUGCAAGUCGAACGGUAACAGGAAGAAGCUUGCUUCUUUGCUGACGAGUGGCGGACGGGUGAGUAAUGUCUGGGAAACUGCCUGAUGGAGGGGGAUAACUACUGGAAACGGUAGCUAAUACCGCAUAACGUCGCAAGACCAAAGAGGGGGACCUUCGGGCCUCUUGCCAUCGGAUGUGCCCAGAUGGGAUUAGCUAGUAGGUGGGGUAACGGCUCACCUAGGCGACGAUCCCUAGCUGGUCUGAGAGGAUGACCAGCCACACUGGAACUGAGACACGGUCCAGACUCCUACGGGAGGCAGCAGUGGGGAAUAUUGCACAAUGGGCGCAAGCCUGAUGCAGCCAUGCCGCGUGUAUGAAGAAGGCCUUCGGGUUGUAAAGUACUUUCAGCGGGGAGGAAGGGAGUAAAGUUAAUACCUUUGCUCAUUGACGUUACCCGCAGAAGAAGCACCGGCUAACUCCGUGCCAGCAGCCGCGGUAAUACGGAGGGUGCAAGCGUUAAUCGGAAUUACUGGGCGUAAAGCGCACGCAGGCGGUUUGUUAAGUCAGAUGUGAAAUCCCCGGGCUCAACCUGGGAACUGCAUCUGAUACUGGCAAGCUUGAGUCUCGUAGAGGGGGGUAGAAUUCCAGGUGUAGCGGUGAAAUGCGUAGAGAUCUGGAGGAAUACCGGUGGCGAAGGCGGCCCCCUGGACGAAGACUGACGCUCAGGUGCGAAAGCGUGGGGAGCAAACGGGAUUAGAUACCCUGGUAGUCCACGCCGUAAACGAUGUCGACUUGGAGGUUGUGCCCUUGAGGCGUGGCUUCCGGAGCUAACGCGUUAAGUCGACCGCCUGGGGAGUACGGCCGCAAGGUUAAAACUCAAAUGAAUUGACGGGGGCCCGCACAAGCGGUGGAGCAUGUGGUUUAAUUCGAUGCAACGCGAAGAACCUUACCUGGUCUUGACAUCCACGGAAGUUUUCAGAGAUGAGAAUGUGCCUUCGGGAACCGUGAGACAGGUGCUGCAUGGCUGUCGUCAGCUCGUGUUGUGAAAUGUUGGGUUAAGUCCCGCAACGAGCGCAACCCUUAUCCUUUGUUGCCAGCGGUCCGGCCGGGAACUCAAAGGAGACUGCCAGUGAUAAACUGGAGGAAGGUGGGGAUGACGUCAAGUCAUCAUGGCCCUUACGACCAGGGCUACACACGUGCUACAAUGGCGCAUACAAAGAGAAGCGACCUCGCGAGAGCAAGCGGACCUCAUAAAGUGCGUCGUAGUCCGGAUUGGAGUCUGCAACUCGACUCCAUGAAGUCGGAAUCGCUAGUAAUCGUGGAUCAGAAUGCCACGGUGAAUACGUUCCCGGGCCUUGUACACACCGCCCGUCACACCAUGGGAGUGGGUUGCAAAAGAAGUAGGUAGCUUAACCUUCGGGAGGGCGCUUACCACUUUGUGAUUCAUGACUGG